UGGGGAAUAUUGGACAAUGGGCGCAAGCCUGAUCCAGCCAUGCCGCGUGGGUGAAGAAGGCCUUCGGGUUGUAAACCCCUUUCACCGGUGACGAUGAUGACGGUAGCCGGAGAAGAAGCCCCGGCUAACUCCGUGCCAGCAGCCGCGGUAAUACGGAGGGGGCGAGCGUUGUUCGGAAUUACUGGGCGUAAAGGGCGCGUAGGCGGUCCGUUGCGUUAGGUGUGAAAGCCCGGGGCUCAACCCCGGAACGGCCUUCGAGACUGGGCAGCUCGAGACCGGAAGAGGAGGGUGGAAUACCCAGUGUAGAGGUGAAAUUCGUAGAUAUUGGGUGGAACACCAGUGGCGAAAGCGGCUCUCUGGUCCGGAUCUGACGCUGAGGCGCGAAAGCGUGGGGAGCAAACAGGAUUAGAUACCCCCGUAGUCC
RNAcentral lists this ribosomal RNA (424 nucleotides) under uncultured prokaryote. RNAcentral describes it as "bacterial SSU rRNA". It matches the Rfam family "Bacterial small subunit ribosomal RNA", at positions 355 to 796 of the family's 1533-position model. The record is from RNAcentral.